RNAcentral lists this long non-coding RNA (362 nucleotides) under Xyrichtys novacula (pearly razorfish). Lineage: Eukaryota; Metazoa; Chordata; Actinopteri; Labriformes; Labridae. The record is from RNAcentral.
UUAGGGUUAGGGUUAGGGUUGGAGUUAGGGUUAGUGUUGGAGCUAGGGUUAGGGUUGGGCUUGGAGCUAGGAUUUUUCUGAGUGCACUGAACCAACUCCCGAGUCUCUAGGACAUUCCUAAAAAAAAUUUGAUUUUUUCCCAUAGGAAUGCAUGGGUUAGGGUUAGGGUUAGGGUUGGAGCUAGGGUUAGGGUUAGGGUUAGGGUUGGAGUUAGGGUUAGUGUUGGAGCUAGGGUUAGGGUUGGGCUUGGAGCUAGGAUUUUUCUGAGUGCACUGAACCAACUCCCGAGUCUCUAGGACAUUCCUAAAAAAAUUUGAUUUUUUCCCAUAGGAAUGCAUGGGUUAGGGUUAGGGUUAGGGUUG